This 796-nucleotide long non-coding RNA is filed under the name Sorghum bicolor (sorghum). Its description in RNAcentral is "long non-coding RNA (SBIC_LNC012424)". Lineage: Eukaryota; Viridiplantae; Streptophyta; Magnoliopsida; Poales; Poaceae. The record is from RNAcentral.
GCUUGAUGGAAAUGCUUAUGCAUGACUUUGGUGAGACUAAGUGCAUGCUUAACACCUAGGGUGUUACAGUACUCUUGCUGGUAUCUUGUAAUUAUGUCCUUUUAUGGAAUUAAAUUUAUAAAUGCCUUGUUAUUGAAUGUUUAGUGGUCAACAUGUGAUGUUCUGGUAAUCUUAGGUUAUGAUUGUGCUUGUAAGCCAUUUGGUUGACACUAAAUAUGUUUUUGCUAUGUCAUCAAAUAAUUAAUUAAAGGUUUUAUAGCUGUUCUGGACAGCAAGGGAGUAAUCUGACCUUUGCUUGAUGAUAACUUGGUUUUCUGAAAGACUUGUCUAAAUCAAAGAUGUCGUAAACUUUGUGAGCUAGCUGCAGUUUAAAUUUGGGAUCAUUUGGUCCAGUAAUUUAAAAGUUAUGGCUCUUCCAAGUUGGGUUCCAGAACUAAGUGCUCUCUGUUUUUCUGGUACAGAACCUGGAACUUUGUUUAGUUGACCUGUUUAACUUGUGAAUCUUGCUAUGAUGUCUAAAGAUGAAAUGUAAACAAUUUCAUAAGAUUUCCAGAAUGUCCUCAUUCAUAUUUGUUAGAUCUGUAUAGCUUUAGUUAUGAUUGGUUCUUUGAGCUGCGUUGUUAUUUGGUUAUUGCUGUUUAUGGUUUUAACUUGAUGAAUCUUGCUAAGUUAGUUAGUCAUCUUUUGUGAGCUUGUAAUGGGAGUCAUUCCGUAAAUGAGUGUCCAGUGAAGUUCUAAUCAUGUUACAAAGCAUUCAUCCUCAUCUACUAUGCACACAUUUCUUACUCAUCGUGCA